Camelina sativa (false flax) is the source of this 1211-nucleotide non-coding RNA. Lineage: Eukaryota; Viridiplantae; Streptophyta; Magnoliopsida; Brassicales; Brassicaceae. The record is from RefSeq and is a predicted model, not a curated record.
AAAAGACAAACUUCGUACUCGUCGACACCUCUCUAUUUAAAACUCGUAUUUAAGGGGUUGUUAAGAGAUGCUUAAAGUUAAAAAUAAAUCAAAAUACAUUAUUAAUGUUAAAAUGGAUUCUAAGUUAAGCAUUUUUGGUAAUCGUUUAGGAUCUCAUAUGUGUCAGUCUGCCAUUGGCUAAUGAAAUUAACAAAAGAAGAAAAGAAAAAAAAAAACUCGACCAAAGCUACAUCUCCGCCGUACUUUCUCUGAUUCAUCCCCAUUCUUCUUCUUCUCCGGUUCGGAUUCCUCUCUCUAGUAGUAAGUCUCCGACUGACUCACAAUCAUCAAUUUGAAUUUUGUUUGUUUCAGAUUUUCUUCCAAAAUAUUGAAGAUUCCUAUUCUCGUAAUGCUUCUCUGCUACUCGUUCGCCUCCUCCUCUCGCUUCUGGUAUACUCCUCCUCCUCUUCAUUCGGAUUUUUGUCUAGAUUCAUUUCAAUUGGUAAGCAGAUCAAAAUGUAGUUCUUCUGAUAAGUGAGUCACAGAUGGUAAUUAGUGUUCCUAUUGUCAACAAGACUUAAGAUUCCUGAAAACUGGUGUUCAUCUUUUGCAAUUUGGUUCCAUCUCUUUGUAUUUAAAUAGAACCAAGGUCCUUACAAGAGAGAAGAUGCUUGAUUGAUAAACCUGUUCCACUUUAUAGUAUGAGAAUUUUUUUUUCUGUAUACUUAUAGAUAUUGGUUAUGUCUCUGGAUUUAUAUAUGGUUUGGAGUUGUGAGAAAGUUCCAUGGAUGUUUCAAGAGUCGUUGGCUGCUGCUUUAGGGGACAACAGUUAGCUUGUGCGGUUCAUUCCAUGUGCUCGCUGCUUUUGCAGAGCUGGACUUGAUGGAGCUAAAACAGCUUUACUGCAGAUGGUGAUACUACCGAGAGUACUCUUCAUACAAAUGUCUUAUACCUGGACUUGAUGGAGCUAAACAAGCUUUAUUUUGUAGGAUACCGUCUCUCAUACAAAUGUCAAAACCUUGCAACUGCAGCAGCGAGACAUUCUCUGCUCUCCAGGAUCAUAUAAAGCUUGCUCUCAAGUCUUCAGGAUCUUUAUACAUUUCUAAUUUGUUGUUCUGUUUUUUUUCUUCCAGGUUUAGGAUAUGUUUAUAUCAAUCAAUGAUGGCUUUGUACUUAAAAAAUAUCAUAGUUUUCAAAAUAUUUUUAAAAAAAAUUUAAGAACCCAAAAUUAU